RNAcentral lists this ribosomal RNA (465 nucleotides) under Vreelandella stevensii. Its description in RNAcentral is "partial 16S ribosomal RNA". It matches the Rfam family "Bacterial small subunit ribosomal RNA", at positions 338 to 795 of the family's 1533-position model. Lineage: Bacteria; Pseudomonadati; Pseudomonadota; Gammaproteobacteria; Oceanospirillales; Halomonadaceae. The record is from RNAcentral.
CCUACGGGAGGCAGCAGUGGGGAAUAUUGGACAAUGGGGGCAACCCUGAUCCAGCCAUGCCGCGUGUGUGAAGAAGGCCCUCGGGUUGUAAAGCACUUUCAGUGAGGAAGAACGCCUGGUGGUUAAUACCCAUCAGGAAAGACAUCACUCACAGAAGAAGCACCGGCUAACUCCGUGCCAGCAGCCGCGGUAAUACGGAGGGUGCGAGCGUUAAUCGGAAUUACUGGGCGUAAAGCGCGCGUAGGUGGCUUGAUAAGCCGGUUGUGAAAGCCCCGGGCUCAACCUGGGAACGGCAUCCGGAACUGUCAAGCUAGAGUGCAGGAGAGGAAGGUAGAAUUCCCGGUGUAGCGGUGAAAUGCGUAGAGAUCGGGAGGAAUACCAGUAGCGAAGGCGGCCUUCUGGACUGACACUGACACUGAGGUGCGAAAGCGUGGGUAGCAAACAGGAUUAGAUACCCGAGUAGUC